CCCCCUGAACUUAAGCAUAUCAAUAAGCGGAGGAAAAAACCAACAGAGAUUGCGUCAGUAACGCCGAGUGAAGCGGCAAAAGCUCAAAUUUGAAAUUUUCAGGGAAUUGUAAUUUGAAGGUGGUCUCAGUUAGUCCAAACAUUCUUAAGUCCAUUGGAAAAUGGCGCCAUGGAGGGUGAUAGCCCCGCAAAGAAUCCGUUUUGUUCUAUUUUCUUUGACCACCAAAGAGUCGAGUUGUUUGGGAAUGCAGCUUUAAGUGGGUCGUAAAUUCCAUCUAAAGCUUAAUAUUGGUGAGAGACCGAUAGCGAACAAUUACAGUGAUGGAUAGAAAAAAAGCACUUAGAAAAGAGAGUGAAAAAGUACGUGAAAUUGUUGAAAGGGAAGGGCUUGCAAGCAGACACAACCUUCUGGUUGGGCCAUCAUCAGGGCGAGGGGAAGGAAAAAAGAAUAGGAAAUGUAGCUCUCGAGCAUUAUAGACCUUUUAUACAACUUCCAUCUCAUCCCGAGGCCUGCGGAUUUCUAUCCAAGGAUGCUGGCGUAUAUAAUGGUCGGUUCUUAUAAUGACACUGUUAAUUUUAAAAUUUAA
RNAcentral lists this non-coding RNA (586 nucleotides) under Metschnikowia bicuspidata var. bicuspidata NRRL YB-4993. Its description in RNAcentral is "Eukaryotic large subunit ribosomal RNA". It matches the Rfam family "Eukaryotic large subunit ribosomal RNA", at positions 24 to 619 of the family's 3401-position model. Lineage: Eukaryota; Fungi; Ascomycota; Pichiomycetes; Serinales; Metschnikowiaceae. The record is from Rfam by way of RNAcentral.